Molecule: long non-coding RNA, 223 nt
Organism: Ahaetulla prasina
Lineage: Eukaryota; Metazoa; Chordata; Lepidosauria; Squamata; Colubridae
Exons: 3
Source: RefSeq, a predicted model, not a curated record
AGUAGGUGGCACCCCUGAAGUCUAUUUCCACUUACCGUUUCUUCUUACUGGAAUCUUUGUCACAAAAGAUUGAGAAGUUAUCUAUACUAAUGAUGCAGCCAUACCGAAUGGAACAAUUCGCUGUGGCCAUCUGGAUGCUGCCACCUGGACAUAGGACACAAGCUGAAGGAGAGGUCCUUCUCAAGCCUGGGUGCAAUUGGCAGCUUGCCAGCACGGAUGCGGG